AUAUGUCUGUGUUGUACAGACUUAGGGGGAGAAGAAGUACCCAUGUGCAUAUGUGUGUUUUACUAGUUGCUAUUAUAGCUAGUAAUUCUAUUUGCUUCUGUUGCUGCUUAAACUGUUGUUAUGCUAUUUAACUGCUGAUGUGUUUUUUCUUGUGAACAAAAUGGACAGAUAUAUGUUUUAGCCAAAAUUUGCCAAAGAGGGAGUUUGUUGGUUAUAAGUGUUGGCGGCAACUUUGGUAAAACAAAGAGUGUU
Molecule: long non-coding RNA, 252 nt
Filed under: Lathyrus oleraceus (garden pea)
Lineage: Eukaryota; Viridiplantae; Streptophyta; Magnoliopsida; Fabales; Fabaceae
Description: Pisum sativum (pea) long non-coding RNA (PSAT_LNC007178)
Source: RNAcentral